RNAcentral lists this transfer RNA (72 nucleotides) under Phrynosoma platyrhinos (Desert horned lizard). RNAcentral's name for it is "tRNA-OTHER". It matches the Rfam family "tRNA". From Rfam's summary of the family: Transfer RNA (tRNA) molecules are approximately 80 nucleotides in length. Their secondary structure includes four short double-helical elements and three loops (D, anti-codon, and T loops). The record is from RNAcentral. Lineage: Eukaryota; Metazoa; Chordata; Lepidosauria; Squamata; Phrynosomatidae.
GUCAGUGUGGCAUAGCGAUUUGGGCAUUGGACUAUGACUCUGGAGACCAGGGUUCAAUUCCCUGCUCAGCCA